UUCACAGUUGUCACAUGGAUGAUGCUGCAUAGUUGUCUGCUCAGUUGAGGCUGCAAAUGUUAUCAACUUUAGAAGGAGGAAAAAAACUACAUGUUCAAUUGGGCUCUGAUUACACACUACUCUGGCAUGUUAUUGUCCCAUUCAAGACCUUCGCCCGGAUUGCACCAGCGGAUGCAGUGAUGGAGAGAUGAAAAGAGGAGGUGGGAGAGCGGAAGACGGAGAGAUUGGAUAAGGGUGUGAAAGCCAGGCAGCAACAGGAGAUGAAAAGAAGCUUCUAAAGCAAGAGAAGCCAUUGAAAAUCAGGUGUGGGUGUCUAAAAUGUGCUACAGGAGAUGGAAAGAGCAUGUGAAAAAAAGAAAGGGUGAAAGAAAAGAAAAAAGAAGAGGUCAAGAUGGAAAGGCUAAAACAAACAAACGCGGAAAACCACAAACUUGGCUGACAGAGCUGAUGGAUGGAGACCAGCUAGUGGGAGAUGUGUUGCAGUUAUUGAAGGAGAGUGCAGCCAAUAACCUCCCGUGGGUCCAUUGUGUCAAGUCCAUAUCCACAGCCAGCAAGGCAGCAAGUGUAAUAGGAAUUCCCUAUUGACCGGUCAAUGGGAGGCCGGGGAUCUAUUCUCCUAGUCCGGUAGGAAGAGAGCGCCAGCACCUUGCUUUGAUGCUUGGGGAAAGCAUGCCAUGACAGCAAAAAGACAGACAAUAGCAGGCAGUUGUUUUGAUUCAGGUGAAGAGUUGAGAGUGCUGUGGGUUAUCUGUAAAAGCUGUCACAGCUCUGAAUAAUACCGCAGUUUGACCCACCUCCAUUCCUGGAAUCCAAACCUUUUUGUUGCACACUGCCUGAAUGUUUCAUGAUUCCCGCAAGUUGAUUGUCAGUCAAAUGUCAAUCCAUGCCCAAUCCCUCAGAUUUACUCCUAGUUUUUCUCCGCUUGACGCAAACAAAACGGGACUUCGUGUCAUUCAUCUUUCAUAUUCCUCGAAUGCUCAAAGGUUCACCAAACUUCCGUCACUCUCAGCAUGGAGAUGCAUUACCUCUGGUGUCAUCGCUUCAUGUUGCCGUGGCACCCAAUGGCAGCCUAGAGAUCAUUGAUUGACGCACUGGCAGUAUCACUCCUGACAUGACGAGAUAAGUGACGGGUGACACCAAAGUCUCACGCCAGCGAUGGCAGAGCAUCAUGGGUGACAAUACC
Etheostoma spectabile (orangethroat darter) is the source of this 1183-nucleotide long non-coding RNA. RefSeq lists it as uncharacterized. The transcript has 3 exons. Lineage: Eukaryota; Metazoa; Chordata; Actinopteri; Perciformes; Percidae. The record is from RefSeq and is a predicted model, not a curated record.